UGAGGAAUAUUGGUCAAUGGGCGAGAGCCUGAACCAGCCAAGUCGCGUGAAGGAAGAAGGAUCUAUGGUUCGUAAACUUCUUUUGCAGGGGAAUAAAGUGCGGGGCGUGUCCUGUUUUGUAUGUACCCUGAGAAUAGGGAUCGGCUAACUCCGUGCCAGCAGCCGCGGUAAUACGGAGGAUCCGAGCGUUAUCCGGAUUUAUUGGGUUUAAAGGGUGCGUAGGUGGUUUGAUAAGUCAGCGGUGAAAGUUUGCAGCUUAACUGUAAAAAUGCCGUUGAAACUGUCGGACUUGAGUGUAAAUGAGGUAGGCGGAAUGCGUGGUGUAGCGGUGAAAUGCAUAGAUAUCACGCAGAACUCCGAUUGCGAAGGCAGCUUACUAAGCUACAACUGACACUGAAGCACGAAAGCGUGGGGAUCAAACA
This 422-nucleotide ribosomal RNA is filed under the name uncultured bacterium. Its description in RNAcentral is "bacterial SSU rRNA". It matches the Rfam family "Bacterial small subunit ribosomal RNA", at positions 355 to 774 of the family's 1533-position model. The record is from RNAcentral.